Octopus sinensis (East Asian common octopus) is the source of this 568-nucleotide long non-coding RNA. RefSeq lists it as uncharacterized. Lineage: Eukaryota; Metazoa; Mollusca; Cephalopoda; Octopoda; Octopodidae. The record is from RefSeq and is a predicted model, not a curated record. The transcript is spliced from 4 exons.
UACCCUACAAUCUUUACAUUAACUGAUUUCUGUCCCCAUCCCCACUUUGGAUGAUCAUAACUUUCAGAAAAAUGGAUAUUUUUUAAUGAAAUUGUCUUCGAAUAUGUGUUACAUCAUGUAGAUUCCAAAUAUGCAAAAUUUUUUUAGGAGGGUAAAGUGUUUUAGGAGGUGUUGGGGUGGGGAAUUUCGGAAACUUCACCGGAGUCCACUUCAAUUCGUCUUAAUUUUCAAGAAAAUGGAUAUUUUUUAAUGAAAUUCUCUACAAAUAUACCUUGGACUAUGUAGAUUUCGAUAACAGGAAUUUUUGGGGAAAACAAUUGGGGGCUAGUUUUGAGAAAUGUUCCCCACUCGCAGGUGUUUCUCAACAAGUUGUCCAUAUUUGUUUCAUUUUCUCUGUCUUGUGCGUUUGUGCAUCUGUAGAUUUCUACUGAAGCAACAAACAGGCAAUGAAGCCCUCACCAGAAAACUAGUUAUGUUAAAAAUAACAGCUAACGGUCUGGUACACAGAGACAUGUUAUUAAGACGACUUAUCUGUUGCAUAUGAUUUUUUUUUGCUUUAAGUAAAUUC